GGUAGUAGCAAAUAUUCAAGUGAGAUCCUUGAAGACUGAAGUGCAGCAGGGUUGCGCGUGAACAGCAGGCGAAUGUGAGUCAAUCGAUCCUAAGAUAUCGGCUAAUGCCGUUGCGGAUUAUUGAGAAAAUAGGAGUUCAAAUCCAUCUCGGCAUUCGAAAGGGAAACGGGUUAACAUUUUUUUUUUUUUGCAGAUUCAAGGGCCACCUGGACACGAAGCGAACGAAAACAACAGGGCGAUGAGGAAAAAGUAUGUGACCUUUGAUUUUUCUAAAAUUAGCGCUAAAGAAAGUCUUGGCGGCUGACUGUCUUGCCUUGUUUUACUAAUUUUUUCUUCUUUUUU
This 342-nucleotide non-coding RNA is filed under the name Gongylonema pulchrum. RNAcentral describes it as "Eukaryotic large subunit ribosomal RNA". It matches the Rfam family "Eukaryotic large subunit ribosomal RNA", at positions 1456 to 1775 of the family's 3401-position model. The record is from Rfam by way of RNAcentral. Lineage: Eukaryota; Metazoa; Nematoda; Chromadorea; Rhabditida; Gongylonematidae.